Drosophila navojoa is the source of this 640-nucleotide long non-coding RNA. NCBI's taxonomy places the organism in Eukaryota, Metazoa, Arthropoda, Insecta, Diptera, Drosophilidae. The record is from RefSeq and is a predicted model, not a curated record.
UGCAUGUAUGUGUGUGUGACUGUGUGUGCGUCCCUCGGACUGUCUGUCUGUUUGCCUUUGUAAUAUGUAUCUCCCGCCGCCACUUUGUAACUGUUGUCAUUUUUAUUGCCCUGGGAAUGUUUUUUGUCCACCAUUGUGAGAGACGUACACGCCCCGCCAAGCAUUUUUUUCUCUCUCCUGCCUUCAUAUGUCUGCCAUUAUGUGUGUGUGUGUGUGUGUUGCUGUCCUGGCUGGGUGUCCUUUGUACUCCGCUAAACAAAAGUUUUGUCGUUGAUUUUAUUGACCAAUUUUUGGAUGCGUAAGUUGCUUUUUUUUCUCGAGAGUUUUUGCAUGCUGCUCCCGCUUCUUCAGCUCCUGCUGACCCUGCUCCUGCUGAUGCUGCUGCCCCUGGGCCUUUGCCAGUUUAUUUUGCUGUUCGUUUCUUUUCUUUGGGCUUGCUUUGUUUUCAUAAGUUUUUUUAUAGCCUCAUCUGUGGGAUUUAAAGUUUUAUUGUGAUUUAAACACUUGUUAAUCGUGUGUGCAUAUGUCAAUUGCCUGUCGCUGUGUGUGUGCGCGUGUGUGUGUGUGUGGGUAAGAUUUGCUUCUGUUGUUUUUUCUUUAGCUACUGGAUUAAGUUGUCUUCGGGCAAUGCUUAUGACUG